UACGUAGGUGGCGAGCGUUAUCCGGAAUGAUUGGGCGUAAAGGGUGCGCAGGCGGUCCUGCAAGUCUGGAGUGAAACGUAUGAGCUCAACUCAUGCAUGGCUCUGGAAACUGGAGGACUGGAGAGCAGGAGAGGGCGGUGGAACUCCAUGUGUAGCGGUAAAAUGCGUAGAUAUAUGGAAGAACACCAGUGGCGAAGGCAGCCUGCCGGCCCCACACUGACGCUGAGGCACGAAAGCGUGGGUAUCGAACAGG
This 253-nucleotide ribosomal RNA is filed under the name uncultured Allobaculum sp. Its description in RNAcentral is "partial 16S ribosomal RNA". It matches the Rfam family "Bacterial small subunit ribosomal RNA", at positions 524 to 776 of the family's 1533-position model. The record is from RNAcentral. Lineage: Bacteria; Bacillati; Bacillota; Erysipelotrichia; Erysipelotrichales; Erysipelotrichaceae.